Long non-coding RNA from Micropterus dolomieu (smallmouth bass), 731 nucleotides. RefSeq lists it as uncharacterized. The transcript has 2 exons. The record is from RefSeq and is a predicted model, not a curated record. Lineage: Eukaryota; Metazoa; Chordata; Actinopteri; Centrarchiformes; Centrarchidae.
GAUGUGGUGACCCAUCUGCUACCCACUGAGGACAACCUAAAAAUUGUGGCCACCAUGAGAAAGGCCUACAAUUUUGUAUUGAUCAAAGAAGGGAACUCCACGACGACAUUGCCCGAUCCACACCCUGAGGCCCAGCCCGAUCCACACCCUCAGGCCCUGCUCGAUCCACACCCUCAGGCCCUGCGCGAUCCACACCCUCAGGCCCUGCUCGAUCCACACCCUCAGGCCCUGCGCGAUCCACACCCUCAGGCCGAUCCACACCCUGAGGCCCUGCCCGAUCCACACCCUCAGGCCCAGUUUGUUUAUCUGUUACAUUUCAUCAAGCACUAUAUAUGUAUAGGUUUUAUAAAAACAAUGAAAUACAAGACCGUACAAUAUUUUUUGAAAAUAUUUAUGCUGUGAAACUAUUGUUAAAAUGGCUCCUGUUUUUCACUGUUCUAAUGUUAUUUUUUUACUGAUACUUACAGUGGAAAAAUCUGGGAGGAGACAUGGGAGCCGGCCUGCCAGUUCUCACCAGGUGCCAACUAUGUGUAAUGUCACACAUUGGUCUGUAAUUCAAUGAGUUAAAUACCUGCUAUGAGAUGUCAAGUUUGCCGUUACGGGCCCAGCCAUCCUGCUUGCGGAUGUGACUACUUUAGAUGAGGAGGAGCCGCGUUACACACUUUCAAUGGUUUCCACCCUAACAUGCUGUCAUGCUGUUUUUUCAUUUAUUUUUUAAUUAUUGAUUUUUG